AUUGAACGCUGGCGGCAGGCCUAACACAUGCAAGUCGAACGGUAGCACAGAGAGCUUGCUCUCGGGUGACGAGUGGCGGACGGGUGAGUAACGUCUGGGAAACUGCCCGAUGGAGGGGGAUAACUACUGGAAACGGUAGCUAAUACCGCAUAACGUCGCAAGACCAAAGUGGGGGACCUUCGGGCCUCACACCAUCGGAUGUGCCCAGAUGGGAUUAGCUAGUAGGUGGGGUAAUGGCUCACCUAGGCGACGAUCCCUAGCUGGUCUGAGAGGAUGACCAGCCACACUUGAACUGAGAUACGGUCCAGACUCCUACGGGAGGCAGCAGUGGGGAAUAUUGCACAAUGGGCGCAAGCCUGGUGCAGCCAUGCCGCGUGUAUGAAGAAGGCCUUCGGGUUGUAAAGUACUUUCAGCGGGGAGGAAAGCGGUGGAGUUAAUAACUUCACCGAUUGACGUUACCCGCAGAAGAAGCACCGGCUAACUCCGUGCCAGCCGCCGCGGUAA
Molecule: ribosomal RNA, 504 nt
Filed under: uncultured bacterium
Lineage: Bacteria
Description: partial 16S ribosomal RNA
Rfam family: Bacterial small subunit ribosomal RNA
Source: RNAcentral